This 357-nucleotide unclassified non-coding RNA is filed under the name soil metagenome. Its description in RNAcentral is "partial contains 5.8S ribosomal RNA, internal transcribed spacer 2, and large subunit ribosomal RNA". The stretch from base 1 to 120 matches the Rfam family "5.8S ribosomal RNA", at positions 35 to 154 of the family's 154-position model. The record is from RNAcentral.
GAUGAAGAACGCAGCGAAAUGCGAUAAGUAAUGUGAAUUGCAGAAUUCAGUGAAUCAUCGAAUCUUUGAACGCACAUUGCGCCCGCUGGUAUUCCGGCGGGCAUGCCUGUUCGAGCGUCAUUUCAACCCUCAAGCUCUCCGGAGUUUGGUGUUGGGGCGCCUGGGGCUUUUCGACCUCAGGGCCCUCAAGUCCAUCGGCGGGACCGCCAGGACACUGAGCGCAGUAGUAUUAUUUCGCUCGGUAGGAUCUUCCACGGCGGGUCGAUCUGGCCGCUAAACCCCCCAAUUCACACCAAAGGUUGACCUCGGAUCAGGUAGGAAUACCCGCUGAACUUAAGCAUAUCAAUAAGCGGAGGA